Molecule: unclassified non-coding RNA, 156 nt
Filed under: uncultured Aureobasidium
Lineage: Eukaryota; Fungi; Ascomycota; Dothideomycetes; Dothideales; Dothioraceae
Description: sequence contains ITS2
Source: RNAcentral
CACCACUCAAGCUAUGCUUGGUAUUGGGUGCCGUCCUUAGUUGGGCGCGCCUUAAAGACCUCGGCGAGGCCUCACCGGCUUUAGGCGUAGUAGAAUUUAUUCGAACGUCUGUCAAAGGAGAGGAUUUCUGCCGACUGAAACCUUUUAUUUUUUCUA